AUUGAACGCUGGCGGCAGGCCUAACACAUGCAAGUCGAGCGGAUGAAGGGAGCUUGCUCCUGGAUUCAGGGGCGGACGGGUGAGUAAUGCCUAGGAAUCUGCCUGGGAGUGGGGGAUAACGUCCGGAAACGGGCGCUAAUACCGCAUACGUCCUGAGGGAGAAAGUGGGGGAUCUUCGGACCUCACGCUAUCAGAUGAGCCUAGGUCGGAUUAGCUAGUUGGUGGGGUAAAGGCCUACCAAGGCGACGAUCCGUAACUGGUCUGAGAGGAUGAUCAGUCACACUGGAACUGAGACACGGUCCAGACUCCUACGGGAGGCAGCAGUGGGGAAUAUUGGACAAUGGGCGAAAGCCUGAUCCAGCCAUGCCGCGUGUGUGAAGAAGGUCUUCGGAUUGUAAAGCACUUUAAGUUGGGAGGAAGGGCAGUAAGUUAAUACCUUGCUGUUUUGACGUUACCAACAGAAUAAGCACCGGCUAACUUCGUG
RNAcentral lists this ribosomal RNA (484 nucleotides) under uncultured bacterium. RNAcentral's name for it is "partial 16S ribosomal RNA". It matches the Rfam family "Bacterial small subunit ribosomal RNA", at positions 30 to 507 of the family's 1533-position model. The record is from RNAcentral.